UACGUAGGGUCCGAGCGUUGUCCGGAUUUAUUGGGCGUAAAGAGCUCGUAGGCGGCUCAGUAAGUCAGAUGUGAAAACUCAGGGCUCAACCCGGAGACGCCACCCGAUACUGCUGUGACUUGAGUUCGGUAGGGGAGCGGGGAAUUCCUGGUGUAGCGGUGAAAUGCGCAGAUAUCAGGAGGAACACCAGUGGCGAAGGCGCCGCUCUGGGCCGAGACUGACGCUGAGGAGCGAAAGCGUGGGUAGCAAACAGG
This 254-nucleotide ribosomal RNA is filed under the name uncultured bacterium. RNAcentral describes it as "partial 16S ribosomal RNA". It matches the Rfam family "Bacterial small subunit ribosomal RNA", at positions 524 to 776 of the family's 1533-position model. The record is from RNAcentral.